RNAcentral lists this unclassified non-coding RNA (414 nucleotides) under soil metagenome. Its description in RNAcentral is "partial contains 5.8S ribosomal RNA, internal transcribed spacer 2, and large subunit ribosomal RNA". The stretch from base 1 to 121 matches the Rfam family "5.8S ribosomal RNA", at positions 35 to 154 of the family's 154-position model. The record is from RNAcentral.
GAUGAAGAACGUAGCGAAAUGCGAUAAGUAGUGUGAAUUGCAGAAGUACCGUGAAUCAUCGAAUCUUUGAACGCAAAUUGCACUCUCUGGUAUUCCGGGGAGUAUGCCUGUUUGAGGGUCGCUUAACAAACCAUCGAUUUCGUUGCUUUUUUUUUAAAAAAGUGAUGUUUAUCGGAUUUGAGCCGUCUUUUUUUUUUUAUAUUUAAGUGGCUUAAAAUUGAUUUUUUUUUGGUACGAUCGAAGCGUAUUUUUAUGAUCAAUUUUUGGUUAAAGAAACGCACACGUACCGUUAUUUAUAUGAUGUAAUACGUUUGACUAUCGGAUUUAGUUCAUUCGUAUACGAUAUUUUUCAAUAUUUGACCUCAAAUCAGGUAAGAACACCCGCUGAACUUAAGCAUAUCAAUAAGCGGAGGA